UACGUAGGGUGCAGGCGUUAAUCGGAAUUACUGGGCGUAAAGCGUGCGCAGGCGGUCUGCUAAGACAGGUGUGAAAUCCCCGGGCUUAACCUGGGAACUGCGCUUGUUACUGGCAGGCUGGAGUGUGGCAGAGGGGGGUGGAAUUCCACGUGUAGCAGUGAAAUGCGUAGAGAUGUGGAGGAACACCGAUGGCGAAGGCAGCCCCCUGGGCUAACACUGACGCUCAUGCACGAAAGCGUGGGGAGCAAACGGG
RNAcentral lists this ribosomal RNA (253 nucleotides) under uncultured bacterium. RNAcentral describes it as "partial 16S ribosomal RNA". It matches the Rfam family "Bacterial small subunit ribosomal RNA", at positions 524 to 776 of the family's 1533-position model. The record is from RNAcentral.